RNAcentral lists this unclassified non-coding RNA (20 nucleotides) under synthetic construct. The record is from RNAcentral.
GGGCUUCACGGAUGAAGCCC